Molecule: unclassified non-coding RNA, 343 nt
Filed under: soil metagenome
Description: partial contains 5.8S ribosomal RNA, internal transcribed spacer 2, and large subunit ribosomal RNA
Rfam family: 5.8S ribosomal RNA (bases 1-120)
Source: RNAcentral
GAUGAAGAACGCAGCGAAACGCGAUAAGUAAUGUGAAUUGCAGAAUCCAGUGAAUCAUCGAAUCUUUGAACGCACAUUGCGCCCGCCAGCAUUCUGGCGGGCAUGCCUGUUCGAGCGUCAUUUCAACCCUCGACCUCCCCUUGGGGAGGUCGGCGUUGGGGACCGGCAGCACACCGCCGGCCCUGAAAUGGAGUGGCGGCCCGUCCGCGGCGACCUCUGCGCAGUAGUACAGCUCGCACCGGGACCCCGACGCGGCCACGCCGUAAAACACCCAACUUCUGAACGUUGACCUCGAAUCAGGUAGGACUACCCGCUGAACUUAAGCAUAUCAAUAAGCGGAGGA